CUGAUAGACCCUGAAAAAUUGAAGUCAUUUGUGUAUCCACACUACAGGUGCAACACACUGCAAGAAGCUUCCGCAUACAGACUUGUCAGUGUGCCUCAAAUCUGACAAGAGAAACCUCCUCUAGAUAAAGAGGGGAGUUCAUUCUCAAUGGCCCAUUCAGUGUUAGGUCUGU
Molecule: small RNA, 172 nt
Filed under: Chrysemys picta bellii (western painted turtle)
Lineage: Eukaryota; Metazoa; Chordata; Testudines; Emydidae
Description: TUC338 (ENSCPBG00000025477.1)
Source: RNAcentral